CAGACCUAUAAUCGGAAAAGACUACCCGCUGAGUUUAAGCAUAUCACUAAGCGGAGGAGAAG
Molecule: ribosomal RNA, 62 nt
Filed under: Hamatocaulis vernicosus
Lineage: Eukaryota; Viridiplantae; Streptophyta; Bryopsida; Hypnales; Calliergonaceae
Description: partial 25S ribosomal RNA
Rfam family: Eukaryotic large subunit ribosomal RNA
Source: RNAcentral